This is a long non-coding RNA of Homo sapiens (human), 673 nucleotides long. Ensembl annotates it as long intergenic non-protein coding RNA 1191. The record is from Ensembl. Lineage: Eukaryota; Metazoa; Chordata; Mammalia; Primates; Hominidae.
GGCAGGUGAAUCACUUGAAGCCGGGAGGUGAAGGCCGCAGUAACGCUGUUCCCUGCAUUGGAUGAAGUGCUCCCCACCAAACUCUCUCACCGGAGAGGGUGGGAUCUGCGGGCUCCCUGGGUGGCUUGAUUUCGACACCCUGUGGGCUGCCUUCCACUCUGGUACUUUCCUCUGCCUGCUGAUGCUUGAAAUUCCUUGAACCGGCCACACACACCUGCUUUCUGGAAUCAGAACACUGGAAAGGCUUCCUGGGACGGGAGAAGAGUGAUUUACAUUCCUGCCGAGGUGUAAAGCUGCGGAUGGCAGGUUCUCUCCUGAGAACCGGCUUCAACUAGGAGGAGGAGGUUGGAAGCAGGACCCCGAGCUGACCUGUUGACCAGGAGAGGAGCAGCAGUGAGGAUGCCAGAGUUCAUGGGUUUCUAGAAGACAAGUUUUCAACUGCAGAUACAAACAUCAGGACGUCAAUGUAUCUGCUAGGAGACACCCGGACAGUGUUGAGAACACAGAACCUGGAGGCUAAACCCCCAGCUUUCUAUGCCAGCUGAGAGUCUGUGGGCACAUUACUCAGCGUCUCUGAACCUCAUGCUCCUCCCCUGUGACAUGUAGAUUGCUAAACCCAUCUCACAGGGCUAUCUUCUGCAUUUAAAGAAUAAAAUAACACAUGAGGGGUCUA